Rosa rugosa (rugosa rose) is the source of this 2339-nucleotide long non-coding RNA. RefSeq lists it as uncharacterized. The record is from RefSeq and is a predicted model, not a curated record. The transcript has 5 exons. Lineage: Eukaryota; Viridiplantae; Streptophyta; Magnoliopsida; Rosales; Rosaceae.
UACGCAAAAAAGGAAUAAAAAACCCAAAGCUCCUUCCCCACUCUCUCGAUAGAGACUCAAAACCAAAACGCAAAGCUCCUCCCUCUCUCGACAGUCGACAGCGUUUCCCCAAAACUAAACCCUCGCUCUCCCAAAUCCUCACUCUUUCCCUCAGCUUUCUAGGGUUUCAAUUUUCAAAUCCCCACCAUACUCUGUCUGGAUCCCCAAAUUUCAAAUCCUUAAUUUUCAAUUUUCAAAUCCCCCAGAUCUGGCUGAAGGUUUUGGUUUGGGCUUGGAGAAAAGAAGUGCAGUAAUGCUUGGAGAGCCAACAUAAACACGAAGGACAUCCAAGACUUGUUCGAGCAGUCAACCAAUGAUGCUCUCUCCGGCGGCAGUCUCUUUCCGAUCCAUUACCACCUUUAGUGACUUGAUUAGGGUUUCAGGUUUCGCUUCUUUCUCACUAAUCGAUCCAAUUUCUAACGCGUUUGCUGCCUUACGAUUGCGAGAAGCGAGUUUGCGAACUCAAAAUCGGAAACAAAGCCUUUCAGGUCACUAUUUCGAUAUUUCUGAUUUCGUUUCUAGUUUCAAUUGGCUAGGGUCACCACCCAAAUUCGCCUUCCUCUCUCUGUCAGAAAACCAAAACAAAAGAUGGGACUGGGAUAGCAGUGGCAAAUUCCGUGGCUGGAAGAAGUGAAAUAUUCUGUGGUCCAAAAUACCCAUACAAGAUCGUUCCAAGAUUUUUCAAAAUCCAGAAACACCUGCCCGAGGGUCACAAUGACAACUCGAAUUGCUCCGGGAGUCGGAGCGAACUUGCUCGGUCAACAUUCCGCCUAGAGAAACUAGGGCACCAUUGCUAACGUCGGCAAUCUCGACCCUCAGGUUAGUGAAGAAUUGUUGUGGGAGCUGUUUGUUCAAACCGGUCCUGUUGUUAAUAUCUAUGUUCCCAAAGAUAGAAUUACGAACCUUCAUCAAGGACACGGAUUCGUGAAGUUCCGAAGUGAAGAUGAUGCUGAUUACAUAGGCAAUCAAGGUGCUUAAUAUGAUCAAGCUUUACGGAAAGGCAAUUCGUGUAAAUGAGGUAUGUAAUUCUGUUUUCCCUAGCUUCAGAAUCUUCUAGUUGUCUAGAUCACAUGUUUCAGAUUUUGAUGGUUAUGAAAUUCUUUACAAGCAUAAGCACAAUUUUUUUGGGCAAUUGUAAACUUAUAAUAUGAGUAGUGAUUCUGAUAUAUAACUUCUGGUCAAGGAAGAAAAAGACUUGCUCAGUUGACUGCUUCAUCAUUGAACUAUAAUGGUUUUAUUCUUUAACAAAGAAGGCUAGCCUCUAGCCCUUAUCUUAUGCACUAGUCUAUUCUUCACUGGCUAAGCAAGGUAAGUGUAGCUGGUCCCAAUAAAAAAAAAAGUAUUCAAUUCCUAGCAGGCCCCAAAUUAGGGACUGGAAUUGGGUAUUGGCUUUAGAUUUGAUUCAUUUUCUCUGGUUAGGUAUUUCGAUUCACUUUGCCUGAGGUUGGCACCUACUUAUUUAAGGUCUGCAAUCUCUAUAUAUAAUGAGGUUUUUUAUUAAAUGAAUCUUGUCUCAACUAUCAUUUUUGUCUUCCUCCCCUCACAUUCUUUCUUUACAAAAAUGUUACAAAUGAGCACUUAAUGAUUGAUGUUUAAGUUAAUUUUUCAUUUUUCAAGUGCAAGUAACUCUAUGGUGGCAUGCUCACAUCUUUUGGCUAAGAGCCACUAUCUAUGGAGCUAUUGUCAUUCUGCCCAAACAAGGGACUGGCUUUCCUUUUCCUCAGCCUUACAGCGAAACUAAUCUUAUCUUAGGUGAGUUUGAGUUUUGAACUUCUUGUUAGCUAUUAAUCUCUCAUAGGUGCCUUGCACCUUUUUCUUGUAUACUAGUAGAUAAAUGCCAAUACAGCUAAUUGCACAAAUGUUCUUGUUGGGAGUGCGGGAAGCAAGGAAAAGGGAGAAUUGGAAAACCUAUCUUUAAAAAGCACAUUUCUGGCCAAGUUUGUCGUGGUGGUUUUGUUCUAAAAACAAUGAUCCAAGUUUGAAGGCUGCUUAUAAACUGGACAAUCAUGUGGAAGAUGGAGCAGCGAUGAAAGCUUUUGAAGUGAUAGAGAGAAAUUUGUUGAGCUAGAAGUUGUACUGAGGCUAGAAGUUGGUCUUUUUUGGGUUGGCCUUAAUUGCAGUUCUCCUAUAGAUGUGAUUAUGUGACAUUUUUAGGUACAUUUGUAGAUGUAUUUUGCUAUAAGAGUUUCAAAUAUGUGAUCCCUUAUUUUGUGGAUACAAUUAGCAUUAUUGGAUCCAUUUAGAUUGUUAUGGGAUUAUAACAGCUUUCUAUUAUGAUUAAAUUACUAUUCUUUUGGUCA